GGUGGGAAAUUUUAGUUACGUGACCAGCACUUCCCACGGAUUUUCGGCUGGUGACCAUUCCUACCAUGGGUGUUUCUGUGGAUUUUUAGAGGCUGGAUUUGUAAUUCCUUUGGAUUUUGGACCCAUGAUUUUUUUUCCAACCAUCUACUCAAGUGAUGAAUUCAAAAUGAGCCUAUCAAAGACAGCCCUAAAGAGGCAAAAUCCAAUUAAAGAAGCAGAAGAUUAUAUCCGGUUGGGAAUAGAUAAGGAAGUCCUUACAUGGAGGUUUAUUGAUCAUAUAAAAGGUCGAGGAGUGUUUGCAAAAGGCCCUAUUUUAAAAGGCACAAUCCUUCUAGAAUAAAGAGGGAAGCUUUUUAAAAGAGCAAUCUGUAGUAAAUUUGGAAUGACAAUAAAUGAAUACACUUAUUUAUUCACACACAAAGGAACAGACUUCUGGUUGGUGAUCAAAUUUAUAUUACAUAUUUAAAUAUUGUGGUAAAUUAAAAAAUAAUAACUUUUUUUCAGUUUAAAUUUAAUUCUAUUUUUGAAAAAUACAAUUUGUCACUCUUUUAGCAUUGAUGCUUCAAGUGAAGAUGGCUCACUUGGAAGACUGUUAUGUCAAUGAUGACAGGAAACCUAACGCAAAAGUGAAGAAGACUGAAGUGGAUUAUGUGCCCCAUCUCUGCUUGUUUUCCAUUACGUACAUAAACACGUGUGUGCUUGUGUGUUGGCCAUGUAGCCAGAGGCACUGUUCUUUCAUAAGUAUAUUAAAGUGUUUUUAAAAUAUAUAAUUUUGGUAAAAUGUCCAUGUUUCAUCCCCAUUUGCUUGUCUUACAGAUAAAUAUUGGCAAGUACACAAAUGAGUUCAUCUUCAAUCCUUAUUAAGACCAAAUUUUCUGGCUUUUAGCCUACAAGGUUGCGCCCUCUCCUGGCAUGUGAAGGUAGCAGAAAGAAGUAUGACAAUGAAGGGGCUGGAUCUUAAGCUUACAUCAUGGUUAUUGCAUUAUUAUUAUUACCAAACUGGAACACAUCUGGAAAGUUAUAUCAAGAAAAAAAAUUACUAGCCGAUUAUAAACGGCUAGAAGAGAAUGGCACUUUCCCGUUGUUCACCGGCAAUUAAAUUGUACAGCGGCAUAAGAAAAAACGGCAAGCUUAUGUCUGGACCAGAGUGCUGUAAUGAGAGUGGCGACACUCUUUGAAAUCGCCGACAGGAGGUCACGUGGUUCAUGGAGCUCUGAAUAGUUCAAUACAGCACAGCGUUCUUCGUUGGGUUCAGCGGAUUCUGGCGGGAGGCAACGCGGACAUUACAAUUUUAUUCGUCAUUUUCGCAUGGGGAUGCUAAAUCUCAUCCUCUUACACAGCGUGGAAGAGAUUACAUGUUCUGCUUCUUCUUACCUUCACAUCAACGUCCUUCAACAAAGCCUCAAUCAAAACUGUGGAAGAUCUCAUUCAGUUUGUUUUCUCUGCCUGGUAUCAGGUGGAAAAUGUACUCAUGGCAAUGUUAAAUGAAUAAUUUCAAGCAGGUUUGAAGGAUAAAAUGUAGCUGUAGAUGCUAACUGGUGUCUUUAGAUGAAUUAUUUCCUAUAACAAACAUUACUAUUCUAUUAUCAUAUCUGAUCAUAUUUUCCUGUCAUAUGAGCUUAAUACAUGCAUCUGUAUCCAUGUAUAUUGUAUUUCUAACCAGAAAACUACCGUAAAAUGGCACUGAUCUGACUCCACUAAAUGUUAAUUCACUGACCCUUUUAUAAUAUUAGCUAACAAGUAUCCAUGUUCAAAAACAGCUUUUUAACAAAAUAUUUUUAUUAAACAAUGUUAUUAUUGAAAGUGUAAUAAAUGCAGAAAUAAAGAAGUACUUUUACUAAUACUUGUAAUGUUUAAUAGUUGAAUCUGCAACAAUUAAUUGUUUAAAGGUUCAUUCAAUGAGGGUUCAUCCUUCUCAACUUGGCAGUUGCUUCAUUUGGUAGUGACCAUCUCUUCGAAACAUCAGUGGACUCUGGUAACAAAAAAUACAGAAAUAAUUCAUCAUCAAAAGCUCCAAAGUCAGACUGAAAAACUGGUGGUGUGUUCCUUUCAUUUCACUUUUCAUUUAUUCAUCCAUAUCAAUUUUCUGUACCAUACAGAAUUACAUAAAAAAUACAAUAAAGCCCUAACAUGGAUGAAAGGAGCAUGUAGAAGAUGUCAUAUAUUACAUGCCCUCUACAAAAAACAGCUUGAAUAGAUGACCAGUAGCAAUCUUUUCCACAGUCCAUGUCCAAAUUACAAACAUUGUUAAUUCUGAAAUAAAACUCUUAAAAAGG
Long non-coding RNA from Melanotaenia boesemani (Boeseman's rainbowfish), 2276 nucleotides. RefSeq lists it as uncharacterized. Lineage: Eukaryota; Metazoa; Chordata; Actinopteri; Atheriniformes; Melanotaeniidae. The transcript has 4 exons. The record is from RefSeq and is a predicted model, not a curated record.